Molecule: ribosomal RNA, 858 nt
Filed under: uncultured marine bacterium
Lineage: Bacteria
Description: bacterial SSU rRNA
Rfam family: Bacterial small subunit ribosomal RNA
Source: RNAcentral
UGCAGUCGAACGAAGCACCUAGACCUGACUUUUUCGGAACGACGGACUUUGUGACUUAGUGGCAAACGGGUGAGUAACACGUGGGUAAUCCGCCCCCAAGUACGGAACAACAGUUGGAAACGACUGCUAAUACCGUAUGUGCUCUACGGAGUAAAGAUUCAUCGCUUGGGGAUGAGCCCGCGGCACAUCAGCUAGUUGGUGGGGUAAAGGCCUACCAAGGCAACGACGUGUAGCCGACCUGAGAGGGUGACCGGCCACAGGGGUACUGAGACACGGACCCCACUCCUACGGGAGGCAGCAGUUAGGAAUCUUCCACAAUGGGCGCAAGCCUGAUGGAGCGACACUGCAUGAGGGAUGAAGGUUCUAGGAUCGUAAACCUCUGAACCAGGGACGAUAAUGACGGUACCUGGGUAAUAGCACCGGCUAACUCCGUGCCAGCAGCCGCGGUAAUACGGAGGGUGCGAGCGUUAUCCGGAAUCACUGGGCGUAAAGGGCGUGUAGGCGGUUUAUUAAGUCUGAUGUUAAAGACCAGAGCUCAACUCUGACACGGCGUUGGAUACUGAUAAACUAGACCACUGGAGAGGCAAGUAGAAUUACCAGUGUAGCGGUGGAAUGCGUAGAUACUGGUAGGAAUACCCAUGGCGAAGGCAGCUUGCUAGACAGAGGGUGACGCUAAGGCGCGAAAGUGUGGGGAGCAAACCGGAUUAGAUACCCGGGUAGUCCACACCCUAAACGAUGCAUACUUGGUGUUGGUGGUGACCAUCAGCGCCGGAGCAAACGCGUUAAGUAUGCCGCCUGGGGAGUACGGCCGCAAGGUUGAAACUCAAAGGAAUUGACGGGUUCCCCGCACAGCGGUGG